RNAcentral lists this ribosomal RNA (231 nucleotides) under uncultured bacterium. RNAcentral's name for it is "partial 16S ribosomal RNA". It matches the Rfam family "Bacterial small subunit ribosomal RNA", at positions 539 to 769 of the family's 1533-position model. The record is from RNAcentral.
CGUUGUCCGGAUUUAUUGGGCGUAAAGGGUUUCGCAGGUGGCCUUUUAAGUCAGAUGUGAAAGAUCACAGCUCAACUGUGGUAAGCAUUUGAAACUGAAAGGCUUGAGUUAAGGAGAGGAAAGUGGAAUUCCUAGUGUAGCGGUGAAAUGCGUAGAUAUUAGGAGGAAUACCAGUGGCGAAGGCGACUUUCUGGACUUAUACCGACACUGAGGAACGAAAGCGUGGGGAGC